AGAGUUUGAUUAUGGCUCAGGAUGAACGCUGGCGGCGUGCCUAACACAUGCAAGUCGAACGAAGCGCAUGCCUGGAACCCUCCGGGGGGAAGGGCAUGUGACUGAGUGGCGGACGGGUGAGUAACGCGUGGGCAACCUGCCCCGCACUGGGGGACAACAGCCGGAAACGGCUGCUAAUACCGCAUAUGCGCACAGCUUUGCAUGAAGCAGUGUGGAAAACUCCGGUGGUGCGGGAUGGGCCCGCGUCUGAUUAGCUGGUUGGCGGGGCAACGGCCCACCAAGGCGACGAUCAGUAGCCGGCCUGAGAGGGUGGACGGCCACAUUGGGACUGAGACACGGCCCAAACUCCUACGGGAGGCAGCAGUGGGGGAUAUUGCACAAUGGGGGGAACCCUGAUGCAGCGACGCCGCGUGAGCGA
Molecule: ribosomal RNA, 418 nt
Filed under: uncultured bacterium
Lineage: Bacteria
Description: bacterial SSU rRNA
Rfam family: Bacterial small subunit ribosomal RNA
Source: RNAcentral